Molecule: unclassified non-coding RNA, 213 nt
Filed under: Hevea brasiliensis (rubber tree)
Lineage: Eukaryota; Viridiplantae; Streptophyta; Magnoliopsida; Malpighiales; Euphorbiaceae
Source: RNAcentral
GUCGAACAUUAACCAGAUUGGGCAGGGCAGAAAGUCGAAGCUUCUUCAGCUCGACCGCAGUCACCUUGCAGGACUCCAGCGAGAGUGAUCGAAGAUUCUUCAGUGUUUUCAGAUGCUGUAAUCCAGCAUUGGUUAUACGGGAGUUCGAGACGUUCAAAGAAACCAAUGCAGUCAGUCCAGAAAGCAACUCCAAAGUCUUAUCGGUGAGGUUGC